RNAcentral lists this ribosomal RNA (145 nucleotides) under Salmonella enterica subsp. enterica serovar Montevideo. Its description in RNAcentral is "partial 23S ribosomal RNA". It matches the Rfam family "Bacterial large subunit ribosomal RNA", at positions 2479 to 2627 of the family's 2925-position model. The record is from RNAcentral. Lineage: Bacteria; Pseudomonadati; Pseudomonadota; Gammaproteobacteria; Enterobacterales; Enterobacteriaceae.
AGGCUAUAGCGCUACGGACAUAUCGACGGCGGUGUUUGGCACCUCGAUGUCGGCUCAUCACAUCCUGGGGCUGAAGUAGGUCCCAAGGGUAUGGCUGUUCGCCAUUUAAAGUGGUACGCGAGCUGGGUUUAGAACGUCGUGAGAC